GCCUCCGUGGUCCAGUGGUUUGAGCGUUGGGCUAACGAUCCGAAGGCCCCGGGUUCAAGUCCCGGUGGGGACA
This 73-nucleotide transfer RNA is filed under the name Pectinophora gossypiella (pink bollworm). RNAcentral describes it as "transfer RNA valine (anticodon AAC)". It matches the Rfam family "tRNA". From Rfam's summary of the family: Transfer RNA (tRNA) molecules are approximately 80 nucleotides in length. Their secondary structure includes four short double-helical elements and three loops (D, anti-codon, and T loops). The record is from RNAcentral. Lineage: Eukaryota; Metazoa; Arthropoda; Insecta; Lepidoptera; Gelechiidae.